UGCUGUAUUCGUUUGCUGUUUUCGUUGGGUUUUUGGUUGGAUUGAUUUGUUGCUGUCUUCGUUUGCUGUCUGGUGUUGUUCGUCUUUCGUUCUUUUGCUUGCUGCCAUUGUUGUUCGUUCGGAAUUGUUCAACCUAGGGUUUUGCAUUUUUUUGUUUUUUGAAUUGUUUGUGUGUUGCUGUGUUUACAAUGACUGGAAAGGAUGAUUCUCUCCAGUCCAUUAGUACUCAAUUAGAUGGUAAGAAC
This 245-nucleotide long non-coding RNA is filed under the name Capsicum annuum. RNAcentral describes it as "long non-coding RNA (CANN_LNC004718)". The record is from RNAcentral. Lineage: Eukaryota; Viridiplantae; Streptophyta; Magnoliopsida; Solanales; Solanaceae.